This 185-nucleotide non-coding RNA is filed under the name Rhodanobacter spathiphylli. Its description in RNAcentral is "Rhodanobacter sp. FMN sequence". It matches the Rfam family "FMN riboswitch aptamer (RFN element)". From Rfam's summary of the family: The RFN element is a highly conserved domain that is found frequently in the 5'-untranslated regions of prokaryotic mRNAs that encode for flavin mononucleotide (FMN) biosynthesis and transport proteins. This element is a metabolite-dependent riboswitch that directly binds FMN in the absence of proteins. The record is from RNAcentral. Lineage: Bacteria; Pseudomonadati; Pseudomonadota; Gammaproteobacteria; Lysobacterales; Rhodanobacteraceae.
UAGCGUCUUCAGGGCGGGGCGAAAUUCCCCACCGGCGGUAGGUUGAAGGGUUCAUCCCCGGCAACGAGCCCGCGAGCGCCUUGGUCCGGAGCGGGCCAGGGGUCAGCAGAUCCGGUCAGAUACCGGAGCCGACGGUUGGAAGCUGGCGACAGUUUCCUCACAGUCCGGAUAAAGAGAAGACGGUC